AUGACCACCCUGUGGCACCCUCUGCAAUCUGGUGAUGCCUUAUGCCAUGCCAAAUCUAAACAGAGUAAAAAAUCUACAGCUGGGCCAGAAAAUUCUCAGUUGAACAUCACAUGCCUUUCAACUAGCAAAGGAAAAAAAAGGAAUAUCUUCAUCACCACACUGGGAUCUGGGAAGAUCUGGCCUCAGCUGGAAAUGUAAAGACUGCCCUUCCAAGUGACCACCAUCAUGGUAACAGGGGAGAAACCGUCUAGGGCCAGUGACCUGUGGUCUGAAUGGCUUCCAGAUACUCCUCUGCUGCUCACAAGUGGCACAAAGAGCUGCCUGAUGUGGGGGCAUUUAUAAAGACGGGCUUAUUUGGGUACAGAUGGGGGACACAAAUAUGAGCAGAGGUGCUGGAGCACCUCUCCUGAGAAGACAGGCUGAGAGAGUUGGGGUUUCUCGGCCUGGGGAAGAGAAGGCUCUGGGGAGACUUUAUAGCACCUUCCAGUACCUGAAGGUGCCUGCAAGAAAGAUGGAGGAGGACUUUUCACAAGGGCUCAUAGUGAUAG
RNAcentral lists this long non-coding RNA (548 nucleotides) under Parus major (Great Tit). Its description in RNAcentral is "lncRNA (ENSPMJG00000005362.1)". The record is from RNAcentral. Lineage: Eukaryota; Metazoa; Chordata; Aves; Passeriformes; Paridae.